AAUGACCUUGACCACAUGUUCCCGGAAGGCAAAAUCUUCAGGAAUUAUAUGGACGAUAUUAAACAUGCGGCAGUGGUUGACCAGAGUUUUGAGUUUCAGUGUAAAAUGAAACGUUUACACAGCAUGGAAACUAGACAAUUAACUUAUCAAGGUUUAUGUUUACGAAUGUCGUCUUUUAAUAGAACAGGGAAAAGAUCAAUUAUCUGUAUUGAAUGACUGGAGAAUACAAACCUAGAACAAAUGUAUAUAUAGAGAAAUACAGAGAAGAGACAACAACCUGACCAAAAGGCAGAAAACAGCCAAAUACCUCCAAUGAAUCUACAACACACUGAGAAAAUUAUGCACAGAGGCAUCAGCACAGCUGCCACCUAAACAAAAAUGUGUUCUACUCCUGGUAACAUGGGUUCAAGCAAAAGGCUUUGCCAUCCAAUACAUGUAUUUCAUUUUGGAAGAAAAAGAACAACAGUCCUGAUGAUGGUGACAGGUCGAAUUAAUCUAACAGAUACUAGUGAAGAAAUCAAGAAACAAGAGUAGACACCAUUUGACCAACUGUGCUUACAUUUACAGUCUACUUGUGCAACAGUUGUAAUUGAUGUCCAUAUUACAUUGUAGUAUGAUAAUACUUUACAGCAUCCACAGAAUUUCAUCUUAGUCAUCAAUGCCUCUCAUUUCUUAAUAAAUUGCAUUUGUUAUUUUG
Mytilus trossulus (common blue mussel) is the source of this 697-nucleotide long non-coding RNA. RefSeq lists it as uncharacterized. The record is from RefSeq and is a predicted model, not a curated record. Lineage: Eukaryota; Metazoa; Mollusca; Bivalvia; Mytilida; Mytilidae. The transcript has 4 exons.